GGGGCCGUAGCUCAGUUGGGAGAGCGCAGCGUUCGCAACGCUGAGGUCAGGGGUUCGACUCCCCUCGGCUCCA
Molecule: transfer RNA, 73 nt
Filed under: Gammaproteobacteria bacterium
Lineage: Bacteria; Pseudomonadati; Pseudomonadota; Gammaproteobacteria
Also listed under: 3 other names
Description: tRNA-Ala
Rfam family: tRNA
About the family: Transfer RNA (tRNA) molecules are approximately 80 nucleotides in length. Their secondary structure includes four short double-helical elements and three loops (D, anti-codon, and T loops).
Source: RNAcentral